UCUCAGUUCGGAUUGAGGCUGAAACCCGCCUCCAUGAAGUUGGAUUCGCUAGUAAUCGCGCAUCAGCCAUGGCGCGGUGAAUACGUUCCCGGGCCUUGUACACACCGCCCGUCAAGCCAUGGGAGCCGGGGGUGCCUGAAGUUCGUGACCGCAAGGAGCGACCUAGGGCAAAACUGGUGACUGGGGCUAAGUCGUAACAAGGUAAC
This 206-nucleotide ribosomal RNA is filed under the name uncultured bacterium. RNAcentral describes it as "partial 16S ribosomal RNA". It matches the Rfam family "Bacterial small subunit ribosomal RNA", at positions 1286 to 1500 of the family's 1533-position model. The record is from RNAcentral.